Molecule: RNA transcript, 2710 nt
Organism: Vespa velutina
Lineage: Eukaryota; Metazoa; Arthropoda; Insecta; Hymenoptera; Vespidae
Gene name: FAM172 family protein homolog CG10038
Exons: 10
Source: RefSeq, a predicted model, not a curated record
CUCAAUAUUUUUUUAGUAAAGUAUCGAUAAUUUUUCGAUAUUAUUUCAUUAAUCGAAUUGCAUUUGGCGCCAUUGUUGAUUUACGAUGUCACUUCGAAAUAUCGUUCGAAAAACAGGUAUUAAUGCUUAUGGAUGUUUUCCUCAAUAUUUCGGCGUAAUAAAUGCAUUGUUAGGCAUGACUACGAUGGCCUGUUCUAACUUUCCAAAGUCUCUCAAUGAAUUUGGAUAUGAUUUUGAUGCAGAUGGAAGAUUAAAGAAAUUAAAUACAGAAACAGGUUUAUUGAUUAAUGAAGGUUUUGAGUUUAAUGUAAGCGAAAAUCCACAAUACAACCAAAAACGUUAUGAAGCAUUAGGUGAAGUUAUUAAUGAAUAUGUAUAUAAUUUGUUGGAAAAAGAAGGUUUAAAUAGAUUGCCAUUACCAAAACAAAGUUCUGUUACAAUAGACAAAAGGUCUUUUAUAUUUGCAUCAAAUGAUGCUUUAGAAAAUGAAAAAAUAUUAAUUUUGAUUCAUGGUAGUGGUGUUGUCAGAGCUGGACAAUGGGCUAGACGUUUAAUUAUAAAUGAUAGCCUUUUUACUGGAACUCAAAUACCAUAUAUUAGAAAAGCUAAAGAUUUGGGUUAUGGAUUGUUUGUAUUGAAUACCAAUGAUAACAUCAGAAUAAUUAAAGGGAAACCAAAUAAAAUUAAGGGUAGUGGAGAUCCACAUGAACAUUUGAAAACAGUAUGGAAUGACUAUAUUGGACCAUCAAAUUCCAAAUAUGUUGCUGUAGUAGCACACAGCUACGGUGGAGAGUGCAUAGUUAAAUUUGCAAUGGAUCAUGUUGAGGAAUUUAAAAGAAAAGUUUUUGCAGUUGGGUUAACAGAUUCUGUACAUAUUGUACCAUCUAAAGGAUUUGAACAUGUAGUGAAGAAGAAAAUGGAUGUAGAGAGAUGAUUUGACCAUCUGCGGCUUGCCGAUCGACAAAAGCUCCGCGUGGUUCUCUUUAUUAGCGUUCUACGUUACCGAGUGGUACUUCAGCUUCUCUUUUCACUCGGUAUGUGGUAUAUUUACUCAUGGAGUUUACAAUUGAAUAUUGUCUGUUGAGAAGAGCGGAAACAUACUUAAUCGAUUUUAUAGAAAAAAUUCAAGCGUAUAUAAAAAAUAUUUAUAAAAAUUUAUUCUUAAAUAGAAAUUAAGAUAAAACGUUCAUUAAAAUGGUAAAUUAAUUUUGCCAGAUGAUAGUACAUUCAUUCAUAUGAAUGACAUUUAUUCAGCCAUCGAUUUGUAGAUUUUGCAAUGAUAGUGAGACGCACAGUAUGACUUCUUGUAUUAGCUCUAUAGAGUCCAUAGCCUUUAAGUGGUAUUGAAUUGUACUUAUAUGCUCGGUCGGUGGUCGUACUUCGAAAUCUAUUUGAUAUCCUAUUUUUUUUUUUUUUGUAUUUCGACUAUGACGAAAAAAAAAAAAAUAAAGGGCCCGAUCAUCUGUUAUAAAUGUACAUAUGUACAUACGAACAACUCUUUGAUCUACUAUUGCCUAGAAUGAUCAUAGAAUGAAACGUAUAAAUAUUAAUGUUUAAUAUUUUAUACAUUUAAAUCGAUUUAAAAGUACAUUUUAAACCGAUUGAUAGGAACAAGUUAAAAAAAACCUAAAAAAAAAAAAAAAAAAAAAAAAAAAAAAAAAUAAACAAGGCAAAUUAUAAUGGCAUACGUUACUUCAUAUUUCUAAUUUAAAAAAAAAAAAAAAAAAAAAAAAAAAUCUUUAACACCUGUUUAUUUUGCAACUCGUUCCAUUGCAAAAUCAGUCCCAUUUUACAGUGUGCAUAGCAAACUGGUAAGAGAAUGGUAGAGCGACCAUCGCAUUAUCAGAGACGUCAAAUAAUCAAUUAGAGUGCCGGUGCAAACAGAAGUACCAACCGUGGUUUGUACCAAUGCGUUCUCUCUCUCUCUCUCUCUCUCUCUCUCUCUCUUUUUCUAUCCACAACUUCGGUACUUCGAGCAAAUAUAAUCGACGACAUUUCCCCCGAGGAUGCGGUCUAACUCGAUUCAACUUAACUUAGGCUCAACUUGGUUCGAUUAGUUGCUGGGAUUCGAGGACUUCGCGAAGCGCAGGUAAAGAGAAUCGAUGGCACGUUCUCGUGCUUACUACGACGAUCGUUUUACUUAAAAGGAACGUAGAAUGUCCUUUAUUACGGUGUACGGAUAAUGUGAUAGCUUCAUGUUCGAGUGAUCGACUAUGUUUACGUAACGCUAGCCGCUUUUGAGUAAACAGCAAAUGGAAUUGAUUUGGUCGGACGACAAUCGAGGAUAGUUCCCUAAAGCGAUCCUCGUCUGGAUGAGCCGCAUAUAUUCGAUUUCAUGUUGCGGUUUCCUUCUCGAUAGCACGUGCCAUAGUUUCUUGCGAGUAAGGAUAUACCAACGAAGUAAGAAGAACGUAUUAUCGUAUUUUCGUUACGGAAACGUCAUCUUCUAGUUUCGUUUUUGCGGUUGCAGAUGGUCAGAAAUCGAAUGUUUCUUUGGAAGCCUUAAAAAACGAAAGUGCGUUGUAACUUCCGACGAUAUUCUAUAUCCUUUUUUAUGAUCGAGUAAUGUUAGAUAUCCAAAAACUGGGUAUGUUCGGAUAAGCCUUUGGAUACAUCAGUGCUUUGUCCGAGUGGAGAUAUAGAGCGAGUUUCUGCUGGUCAUACCGUUCAUGAGAUGUCAUCAUCUUCGUGCAUCGAUUCUCUCUUUCGU